Molecule: unclassified non-coding RNA, 206 nt
Filed under: uncultured Sebacina
Lineage: Eukaryota; Fungi; Basidiomycota; Agaricomycetes; Sebacinales; Sebacinaceae
Description: sequence contains ITS2
Source: RNAcentral
UACUCUCACACUCUCCGAUCCUUUGGAUUUGGGGAGUGGUGGACUUGGGUGCUUGCUGCUUUUGUUGUGGCUCACCUUAAAUGUGUCAGUGCAUCUCUUGAUUGGACAUAGUACGGCGUGAUAAGUGUCUUCGCCGGCGCCUCACUUGUUGAGGGUGGCCGAUCGGGAGCUCUGUGCUUCAAACCGUCUUCGGACAACAACUGACA